This is a long non-coding RNA of Ailuropoda melanoleuca (giant panda), 1598 nucleotides long. RefSeq lists it as uncharacterized. The transcript is spliced from 3 exons. Lineage: Eukaryota; Metazoa; Chordata; Mammalia; Carnivora; Ursidae. The record is from RefSeq and is a predicted model, not a curated record.
GGUGCCCAGUCUGUGGUACUAGCCUCCAGCGGUGCCCCCACUGAAGCCCCCGGCCUCUCACCCUGCAUGAUUCCCGGGGCACGUGCCAGGGCCCCAGUCAGGAAGGAACCCCACUUAACAGGCGUAGGCCACGUCAGGGCCUGGUGCUGGGCACCUCACAGCCAUUCUCAACAGUCACAUAGGGUUAGGACUUUUAUCCCCGUGUGAGGAGUGAGGGGGCAUAUGGGAGGGGCUCCUCCUUGGUCCUUACUGUUACCCGUGAUUCCAAGUUCUCUGUUGUAGCCACCUCAAAUUCUUACAUUAACCCCGUUUCUGGGUUUGUCCCGUUUCUAAUUCUGACCACUUUCCGGGGGCUAUUCCCUGGUUAGGAAGCAGCAGCAUAGUGGGGAGAGGUGGAAACCACUGGGGUCCUCACCCCCGAGGUAUGGUGGAGCCACACCCCUCUGGCCCCCAUAGCCCCUGCCACUGAUGGCAGGUUUUAGUUAAAAUCUCUGAUUUGCAGAGCCGUUCCCCCCAAAAUCCAUUUAGGGUAUAAACUGUGUCUGGUCCACAGGGGUCCUCCCCAGCCCACCCAUCGAUGGAGGCUGGGGAGGGCACAAGGCCUGAGGAGAGCAGCUUGGGGAAGGAGGUCCUUCCAUCCUGAAGAGAAUGGAGCAGCCCAGCCUGGCCCUUGAUUGCUCUCCUUGACCUCGGGAGGGUUGUUGAUUAGCCCUCCCCUGCCAGCUGGCUCCUCUGUCGCCACCCAGGGUGCACACGUGGGCCAGCAGGGGGAGGGGGGCUAACACUGCCUCCUGCCCACCCAGCAUCAAGCCACCAGGCCACGGGGCCCCUCUCUGCCUCCCCUCCUCUCUGCUUGCUUCCUGUGGAGGCGCGCAGUUCUAGUCAGAGAGAACUGUGCCCUGAUCCCAGCGCCACCCCCAGCUCACUGCGGGACCCUGAGCUCAGUGCCUCCAUCUUUAUAUAAAAUGUGAGGGUGAGUUCCCAAACUUGGCUGUGAAUCCAAAUCUGCCAGGGAACUGGGAAAAGAUUGCUGGUCCUGCGCCUCCUGCCCAGAAGUUUGGGUUCAGAAGAUUGAGUGGAAACUGGGAAUGGGUAUUCGGGGGCCAGGGUGCUGUGGUGCAGAGACCGGGCACCCAAGGAUUUGAGCCCAUUUUUCCCUGAGUCCGACCCAGGCCCUCAGAGCCUAGCACCGCGUUUGGGCCAUAGCAGAUGCCAAAUUAAGUCUUGAUUACCUGCUAGCAUAAAAAUUCUUGACCUCACUUUUAUCAUCUGCCAAACUAAAUAAGGAGUCUCCCUUUGCCCCUUGAUGAGCCCCCAAAUCUGUCUUGCCAUCACCAUGCCGCCUUGUCCCCUUGGUUCUGGAACCCUACUGCCUAAGUUUGACACCUACUCUGACUGUGUGUCCUUGUGCAAGUUACUUAACCUCUCAGCAUCGGUUUCCCCAAAGGUAAAAUGGGGAGGCUAACGAUAGAAUCUUCUUCCUGGGAUGGUGGUGAGGGGUGGGAUCGUUCGCAUGAAGCACAGGACCUGGCACUGAGAAAGCCUUGGUCAAGGAUCGUAUUGUGACCGUGGCCGCCUUCAUCUCUGGGGUGUUUGUC